RNAcentral lists this ribosomal RNA (585 nucleotides) under uncultured bacterium. RNAcentral describes it as "partial 16S ribosomal RNA". It matches the Rfam family "Bacterial small subunit ribosomal RNA", at positions 355 to 1375 of the family's 1533-position model. The record is from RNAcentral.
UGGGGAAUUUUGGACAAUGGGCGAAAGCCUGAUCCAGCAAUGCCGCGUGUGUGAAGAAGGCCUUCGGGUUGUAAAGCACUUUUGUCCGGAAAGAAAUCCUCUGGGUUAAUACCUCGGGGGGAUGACGGUACCGGAAGAAUAAGCACCGGCUAACUACGUGCCAGCAGCCGCGGUAAUACGUAGGGUGCAAGCGUUAAUCGGAAUUACUGGGCGUAAAGCGUGCGCAGGCGGUUUUGUAAGGCGGAUGUGAAAUCCCCGGGCUUAACCUGGGAACUGCAUUCGUGACUGCAAGGCUAGAGUAUGGCAGAGGGGGGUAGAAUUCCACGUGUAGCAGUGAAAUGCGUAGAGAUGUGGAGGAAUACCGAUGGCGAAGGCAGCCCCCUGGGCCAAUACUGACGCUCAUGCACGAAAGCGUGGGGAGCAAACAGGAUUAGAUACCCUGGUAGUCCACGCCCUAAACGAUGUCAACUAGUUGUUGGGGAUUCAUUUCCUUAGUAACGUAGCUAACGCGUGAAGUUGACCGCCUGGGGAGUACGGUCGCAAGAUUAAAACUCAAAUGAAUUGACGGGGUCAUAGCUGUUUCCU